UGUAAUUUAGUGUAAAUGCACAUUAGUUUUUGAUUCUAAAAGUUGAAUAAAAUUUUCAAAUUUACAA
RNAcentral lists this transfer RNA (67 nucleotides) under Mileewa lamellata. RNAcentral describes it as "tRNA-Gln". The record is from RNAcentral. Lineage: Eukaryota; Metazoa; Arthropoda; Insecta; Hemiptera; Cicadellidae.